AUUCGAAGAAAAAGGAGGAGAUGCCAUCUGGCAAAUUCGAGGUCCUUCCAAAGUGCCUACGGAAAGCUUUGUCCCAUCCUUGAAAAAUUGCUAAUGGGUUUGGAGAUACGAGGUGGAGAUGACUAGCAAUCAAACUCAAAGGUGGAAGUCACAUCGAGGCAGAUGAGCAGAUGAGGGGACCUAGAGAAGAAGAGAGGUGCAAGGAGAGCCCAGCCAGCAGGAACAUCUGCCCCAGUAGGCAGCACUGCCCCACAUCAGAGUCGAGGAAAGCAAAGCUCGGAUUGGAUAAAAGAAACUUGCAAACACGGAUGAAGGGAAAAGCUUCAUGACAUUGGAUUUGGCAGUGAUUCCUUGGAUAUGACCCCAAAAGCACAGAUAACGAAAGAAAAAAUAGUUAAAUUGUCUUCAUCAAAAUUAAAACUUUUGUACAUCAAAGAACUCUUUCAAAAGAGUGAAAAAGUCACAGAAUAAGAGAAAAUCAUAUACCUGAUAAAGAAUUAAUAUUCAGAGCCAGAUGCAGUGGCUCAUGCCUGUAAUCCCAGCACUUUGGGAGGCCAAGGCAGGCAGAUCACUUGAGAUCAGGAGUUCGAGACAAGCCUGGCUAAAAUGGUGAAACCCCAGCUCUACUAAAAAUACAAAAAUUAGCCAGGCGUGGUGGCGUGCACCUGGAAUCCCAGCUAUUCGGGAGGCUGAGGCAGGAGAAUCGCUUGAACUCAGAAGGCAGAGGUUGCAGUGAGCCAAGAUCACACCACUGCACUCCAGCCUGGGCGACAAAGUGAGACUCCAUCUCAAAAAAACAAAACAAAACAAAACAAAACAAAGAGUUACUAUUCAGAAUAUAUUAAGAAUUCCUACAACUCAACAACAAAAAAAAAUCCAACCCAAUUAAAAAAUGGGCAACAGACCCAAAUAGACAUUUCUUAGAAGACACACAAAUGGCCAAUAAGCUCAUGAAAACAUGUUUAACAUCACUAAUCAUUAGGGAAAUGCAAAUCAAAGCUAAAAUGAGAUACCACGUCACACUCAUUAGGUGUUAUUUUUUAAAAAUAACACAACAACAAAAAAUAAGAAAUGUGGGCGAGGAUGUGAAGAAAUUGAAACCCUUGUGGACUGUUGUUGGGGAUGUAAAAUGGCGCAGCUGCUGGGGAAAACAGUAUGGGAGUUCCUCACAAAACUAAACAGAAUUGCCAAACGACCCAGCGAUCCUGCCUCUGACAUAUACUGGAAAGAACUGAAAUAAGGCGCUGGAACAGACACUUGUAACCCAUGUUCACAGCUGAGCCAAAAGGUGGGAGUAACCCAAAUGUCCAUCAGUGGAUGAAUACUGGCAAUAAAAGCUGUGUCUGGAGGCCACUCCGUUUCACACAGCUCUCCACACGGGUGAGGGCACAGCCUUCUCGUCUCUUUCCUAUGCUGCAUCUUCAGAGCUAGCUAUGAUAUGAUA
Homo sapiens (human) is the source of this 1444-nucleotide long non-coding RNA. Ensembl annotates it as DENND3 antisense RNA 1. Its record names the gene DENND3-AS1. Lineage: Eukaryota; Metazoa; Chordata; Mammalia; Primates; Hominidae. The record is from Ensembl.